Molecule: long non-coding RNA, 364 nt
Filed under: Trifolium pratense (red clover)
Lineage: Eukaryota; Viridiplantae; Streptophyta; Magnoliopsida; Fabales; Fabaceae
Description: long non-coding RNA (TPRA_LNC004838)
Source: RNAcentral
AUAACACCUCAUGUCAAUUUAUCUAGAAUAUUGACAAUAGUGUACAUAACUGAAUCGGAAAACAUUAAAUUUUCAUUACAUAAAGAUCAAACACAUGAAUAGGAUUACAAAAUCCAAGAAGUGAAUACAAAUUUGAGCCAACAACUAAACAUAAUUAAUCUGAAUCUUAUAAAAGAUAUAAGAUAAAUAUAACAUCGGCUCCAAAUCGUACUCCACGUAUCUGGGUCUUCAUGCUUGCUGACCACGACAUCGCGAUCAACAUGGUUAUCUGAAAUCAAAUAAGUGGGGGAUGAGACAGUCACUUCGUCUCAGUGGAUUCCUACUACCCAGUUACUAUUGGUGUUUACACCGAGGGCAACUGAUG